GCUUGGCGUGGUGGCACAUGCCUGUAAUCCCAGCUACUCAGGAGGCUGAGGCAGGAGUAUCAGGAGUUCAAAGCCAGCCUCAGCAACAGUGAGGUGCUAAACAACUCAGUGAGAUCCUGUCUCUA
Molecule: small RNA, 125 nt
Filed under: Marmota monax (woodchuck)
Lineage: Eukaryota; Metazoa; Chordata; Mammalia; Rodentia; Sciuridae
Source: RNAcentral